GACGAACGCUGGCGGCGUGCCUAAUACAUGCAAGUCGAACGCCCUCGACCUUCGGGUCACAUGAGGGAGUGGCGAACGGGUGCGUAACACGUGAGAAACCUGCCCUGAAGACGGGAAUAACCCGAGGAAACUCGGACUAAUACCCGAUGCCCUCUUCGGACCGCAUGGUCUGUUGAGGAAAGGCUCCGGCGCUUCAGGAGGGUCUCGCGGCCUAUCAGCUUGUUGGUGAGGUAACGGCUCACCAAGGCAUCGACGGGUAGCUGGUCUGAGAGGACGAUCAGCCACACUGGGACUGAGACACGGCCCAGACUCCUACGGGAGGCAGCAGUAGGGAAUCUUGCGCAAUGGGCGAAAGCCUGACGCAGCAACGCCGCGUGGGGGAUGAAGGCCUUCGGGUCGUAAACCCCUUUCAGCAGGGACGAAACUGACGGUACCUGCAGAAGAAGGUCCGGCCAACUACGUG
This 463-nucleotide ribosomal RNA is filed under the name uncultured bacterium. Its description in RNAcentral is "bacterial SSU rRNA". It matches the Rfam family "Bacterial small subunit ribosomal RNA", at positions 28 to 507 of the family's 1533-position model. The record is from RNAcentral.